CAGUGUGCCGGGUCAGAUCCAACUGGGUUCAUAUGGACUUCCGUCUUCAGACAUCUUAGUCUGUUUAUAUGGCUGAUUCCGUUUCUCUGUUUGCCUAUGUUGACCCAUCCCUGCAUCUUGGUUACAAAGCCUACUCUAUUAUUGUGGAAGAUCCUUUUGAUGUGAUCCUGGAUUUGGUUUCUGACAGCUGGCGUGAGAGUUUCUCUAGGAUUUAUAUCUAAUGGUGGAUUCCUGCCAGUGACAUAUCUGGCCAUCUUCACCCUCCUCAGAUUUGGACAUGGUGCUCUACGAAUCUGCAUUCUUUACUCCACAAGAGGAAGGGCCUUUCUCCUGUGCACUCGCUAGUCUUUGUGGUCAUCAGUUUCCUUCCUUCCAGAGAAUUGUUUUUUGUUUUUUUUUUUUUUAAUUGGUUUUUGCUUCCAUUAGAGGGAAAGGUUACAGUUUCUAAAGGGCCUUUUUACAAAAAUACAGGGACAUAUGUGUACACAGGUACAGAUAAAAGUGUAAAAUGUGCACAGUUAGAGAAAGGGACUUUUUAAGGCCAAACACUCACUAUCCAAUAAAGACAAAUUAAUAUUAACCAAAAAGGGGGCAGGGGCAUGGAGCCAAUGAGAGACUAUAGUAGGUAAAGGGGUUGUUGCAUAACCCUGACAAUCUAAAUCUGAUCCCCGAGUGCAAUCCUGUAACCCCAUUGUGAAAAAAACAGAACUAAUUUAAUCAACCUGAGUUGAUUCAGAGUAGAAAUACAAACACCAAUGCCAACAUAAGAACCUGAUUGAAGAGAACUCUUAAAAAUUGUGACAGAGAUCCUGAAGUGUAGCUCUUCACGGUUGAUGGCUACUAGUGGGGUGGGGAAGGACACAGUCCUCUAAGGGGCUGUCCACUGGGAGUUUGACCAUGCUCCAGUGAGUAUACGGGCAACACAAAUUAAACUUGUUUUCUUCUUACUCCUCCUCCUCCUCCUCCUCCUCCUCCUCCUCCUCCUCGUCUACCUCCUCCUCCUCAUCUACCUCCUCCUCCUUCUGACAGGAAGGUCACAAGGGUGGAGGUGAACCUGGGAAGUGAAUGUGAUUGGGGUGCAUUCUGGGAAACUCUCAAGUAACUAAUUAUGCCGUAAAAAAAAAAAAAAGGCUUUUCAUCUUUAGCUUUCAGUGGUUAAGAGCCUUGAAGUGUCUGCUCUUCCAGAGAUCCUGAGUUCAAUUCCCAGAACCUACAUGGUGGCUCACAGCCAUCUGUAAGGGGGUCUGAUGCCCUAGUUUGCUUUUUAUAUUCUAAAAUCACUUAAUUAGAUAGGCAUAUAGAAGCUUAGCAUUACACUUUUCUGAUGAAUUGAAUUAAUCUGAUAACCCUUUGCAGGGGCCUAGAACCAUGCUAACACUUUUUAAAGGAGAUCUCACACUUUCGUCCUUAUUUUCCACGUGCACAAGCUAGACUCAGGCCCUUAGGUUGGUACUGGUGGUCAUUGAAAUUUAAAAAAAAAAUAUUGCCAGUAUAAUCCAAGUAAAAGUGGAGAUCUUUAUUAUUUUAAUUUACAUGUUCCUUUUUAGUAUAGAAGACUCAUGAAAUAUAAGCGCAUGUGCGUGCGCGCAUACACACACACACACAUACAAACACACACACACACAUACAAACACACACACAACUAUAAAGGAUCAAUACCCAGGAUUCCAAGAAUAGAGACAUAUGUACAAAAAAUAGGUACCAAACAAUGACAAGACCCAGACCAAAGGUACACCUAUAUCCAGUGCAAGAUCAAUAUCUGUAAUUGCUAAAACAGGACAGCACUAUCGGAAAAUGGACAAGUGUUAGAAACAGGCGAUUCACAAAGUCACAUACACCUGGAGAUCAGUGCACGUUCCCUAGUUAUUAAACGAGUAGGAGGGCUGCAGAAGGUCUUUGCAGUUGUCAUGUCUUACCUGCCUUCCCUAGGCCACUCUCCUUGAGAAGAAUAUUUGAAUUUGGGAGGUUUGCCCGGGAGAAUUUCACAGGGAAUGAGAAAAGCAAGACCAGGCAGAAUGAAGAUAACCCUGGGGUGCUGGAGGUGGGGGUCUCAUCAACCAAGACAAGACACUCUUGCAACUACAACUUACUGAUCUAAGUUUCCCUAAGGAAAGGAAGUAGCCUUGGCAGGGCAGACCUGUUUGGCUGGGAGGACUGGGCCAAGGAAACAGCUGUGAGCCAUCAGUAGCCUAACUCCUGGCAACUGUGGACACAGCAGGUGCUGGGUGGGACACUUGAAGCAUCUACUAUGUGCAACUCUGAGAUCCAGUGAGUUGACCAAAACACUGUGAUUAGGAACACUGGCGUUGACACCCAGGAGCCUCAGAUUUAACAAUUCCACCGUGUAUCUGACAGCUGGGUUAACUGUCAUGAGUUCUUCCAACAAGCAUUUGCUGAGUUGCCCCAGGGAUACCUAUGUGGAGACGCUCGUGGGGAUGGAGUGAAGGAAUACACACAGAGUUACCGUUCGGUGACUACCAUUUCUUAUUAGUAAUUAUUGCCAGGAGCAUCCAGGACUUUACUUUUUUUUUUUCUCUCAGUGUAAUCCUACAAGAAACUCCCUUGAGAUGUAACUCUGUGGACGCCUCAGAUCAGCAGAACACUCAUGAGUUUAGAGGACUUCAGAGAAGCCUCAUUUUCUCAUCUCAGCUAGAACAUGCCAUAGCUGUUGAGUGAACUGUUCCCCGGACUCAUCGUCAGCCUUUUCCAGCCUAGAAGCCUCAUUUUCUCAUCUCAGCUAGAACAUGCCAUAGCUGUUGAGUGAACUGUUCUCCGGACUCAUCGUCAGCCUUUUCCAGCCUUCCCUACCUCACAGCCAACGGUUAUCUUUUCCUCCUAUCUCCUUGUGACUUAAUUUCUGCAGGUUUCAAGGCUCAGGCAAGACAAAGAACACUAGUGCUCGACCAGGUGACAGUGGUUAGCAGCCUUUGAUACUAGAAAAUCUCCCCUCUCCCCCUGAAUUUACCAGAAUAAAAAAAUUUUA
This is a non-coding RNA of Rattus norvegicus (Norway rat), 2983 nucleotides long. NCBI's taxonomy places the organism in Eukaryota, Metazoa, Chordata, Mammalia, Rodentia, Muridae. The record is from RefSeq and is a predicted model, not a curated record.